Molecule: ribosomal RNA, 460 nt
Filed under: uncultured bacterium
Lineage: Bacteria
Description: partial 16S ribosomal RNA
Rfam family: Bacterial small subunit ribosomal RNA
Source: RNAcentral
CCUACGGGUGGCAGCAGUGAGGAAUAUUGGUCAAUGGACGAGAGUCUGAACCAGCCAAGUAGCGUGAAGGAUGACUGCCCUAUGGGUUGUAAACUUCUUUUAUAAAGGAAUAAAACGAGGCACGUGUGCCUUUUUGCAUGUACUUUAUGAAUAAGGAUCGGCUAACUCCGGGCCAGCAGCCGCGGUAAUACGGAGGAUGCGAGCGUUAUCCGGAUUUAUUGGGUUGAAAGGGAGCGUAGAUGGGUUGUUAAGUCAGUUGUGAAAGUUUGCGGCUCAACCGUAAAAUUGCAAUUGAUACUGGAAGUCUUGAGUACAGUUGAGGUAGGCGGAAUUCGUGGUGUAGCGGUGAAAUGCUUAGAUAUCACGAAGAACCCCGAUUGCGAAGGCAGCUUACUAAACUGUGACUGACAUUGAUGCUCGAAAGUGUGGGUAUCAAACAGGAUUAGAUACCCCUGUAGUC